RNAcentral lists this ribosomal RNA (637 nucleotides) under uncultured Limnohabitans sp. Its description in RNAcentral is "bacterial SSU rRNA". It matches the Rfam family "Bacterial small subunit ribosomal RNA", at positions 248 to 878 of the family's 1533-position model. The record is from RNAcentral. Lineage: Bacteria; Pseudomonadati; Pseudomonadota; Betaproteobacteria; Burkholderiales; Comamonadaceae.
GUUGGUGGGGUAAAGGCUCACCAAGCCAACGAUCUGUAGCUGGUCUGAGAGGACGACCAGCCACACUGGAACUGAGACACGGUCCAGACUCCUACGGGAGGCAGCAGUGGGGAAUUUUGGACAAUGGACGCAAGUCUGAUCCAGCCAUUCCGCGUGCAGGAUGAAGGCCCUCGGGUUGUAAACUGCUUUUGUACGGAACGAAAAGGUUUCCAUUAAUACUGGGGGCUCAUGACGGUACCGUAAGAAUAAGCACCGGCUAACUACGUGCCAGCAGCCGCGGUAAUACGUAGGGUGCAAGCGUUAAUCGGAAUUACUGGGCGUAAAGCGUGCGCAGGCGGUUAUGUAAGACAGAGGUGAAAUCCCCGGGCUCAACCUGGGAACUGCCUUUGUGACUGCAUAGCUAGAGUACGGUAGAGGGGGAUGGAAUUCCGCGUGUAGCAGUGAAAUGCGUAGAUAUGCGGAGGAACACCGAUGGCGAAGGCAAUCCCCUGGACCUGUACUGACGCUCAUGCACGAAAGCGUGGGGAGCAAACAGGAUUAGAUACCCUGGUAGUCCACGCCCUAAACGAUGUCAACUGGUUGUUGGGUCUUCACUGACUCAGUAACGAAGCUAACGCGUGAAGUUGACCGCCUGGGG